CUCCGGAGAACCCUAAUGCAGCAACCAAGAGCCUGGCCCUUUCUCGCUUUCUUGCAACAACUCCGGUCCCUCCGAGUCCCAGCCCUGCGAAGAAGCUGGCGGCCCAGCCUGAGAUCCCUCCCGGUUAGGACAGGGCUGUGGGCUGCGUGCAAGCCCUGGCUUCAGGCCUAGCACUGGGGAAAAGAGGCUAUCAGAGGUCCCCCCACUCCCUCCAUGGCGAGCAGAUGCGCAGAGGGGUGGCACUUAGCGGCAGAUGGCCCAAAGCUUGUGGACUCUGUUCACAUAGGGCCAGGGGAAGCAGGGCCUUGUCCUUGGCCUCUGGGCGCUCAGGACAGCGCUGUCUCUCUAGGACCACCGAGCUUUCUGUGUCACCAUCUGGAUCAUGGCUUUGCCCGCUCCACGCAGGUCCUUGGAAGCCCCAGGGAUGUCCUUGCUGCUCUGGAGAAACUUGGGCCAAGGGCUAAGACCCACUUCCGGCUGUGGCAAGAUCGAGAGAGAGAGGCCCGAUCGGUUCCGAGCAUCUCAGUGAAACUGGACAGAGAGAUGAAGGAAGAGGGAAAUCGGUUUCCCAUCAGGGAGGGACUCCAGCCUGCUGCACGCUGUCUGCCUGUCCUCACCCUCUGUUGGGGGCGCUGGCACUGGGGAGCACUGCACAAGGCCUAGGCAUCCAGGGAAACUCAAAAGCAAAGCCUGCUCAGAGACAUGAGAGGAUGGGUCAUAGGAGAGCACAUUGCAAGUGGUGAGCUCAGACUGGUAGUACACAUCCUGUCUCCAAAAUGAAAAGUAAAAAGGGCUGGGGAUGAAGCUCGGUGGUAGAGCAUUUGCCUAGCAUGCACAAGGCCCAGAGUUUGGCGCCAGCCCUGGAAAAAAAGCGAAAAGCCAACAGUGAAAGCCAGACGUGGUGACGCACACCUAUAGUCCCAGCUACCCAGAAGCUGAGGCAGGAGGAUCCAUUGAGCCCAUAAGUUUGAGACCAGCUUGGAGAAAGCGGGAUCGAACUCAGGACCUUGCGCUUUCGAGGCAGGUGCCAGAACCACUGAGCAAGGGUGUUGCAAAGACUUCUGAGGACAUCUUGGAGAGGAGGUGGCCUUGGCAUAUGAUGACACUGGAUUUCCUGAGGCCUCGUUCCCGUGGGCCCGUUUUUGACCAAGCGGCAGCAGUGGAUAUAAGGCAGGAGACCAGGGCAUGGUGAGGCAGCUGGGCAAGUGGGCG
RNAcentral lists this long non-coding RNA (1212 nucleotides) under Heterocephalus glaber (naked mole-rat). RNAcentral describes it as "lncRNA (ENSHGLG00000034791.1)". Lineage: Eukaryota; Metazoa; Chordata; Mammalia; Rodentia; Bathyergidae. The record is from RNAcentral.